RNAcentral lists this ribosomal RNA (387 nucleotides) under uncultured bacterium. RNAcentral describes it as "bacterial SSU rRNA". It matches the Rfam family "Bacterial small subunit ribosomal RNA", at positions 29 to 408 of the family's 1533-position model. The record is from RNAcentral.
AACGAACGCUGGCGGCGCGCCUAAUACAUGCAAGUCGAGCGAGAAGACGUAGCAAUACGUUUGUAAAGCGGCGAACGGGUGAGGAAUACAUGGGUAACCUACCCUCGAGUGGGGAAUAACUAGCCGAAAGGUUAGCUAAUACCGCGUACGCUCCUCGGACUUCGGUUCAGGGAGGAAAGCGAUACCGUGGGUAUCGCGCUCUUGGAUGGGCUCAUGUCCUAUCAGCUUGUUGGGAGGUAACGGCUCACCAAGGCUUCGACGGGUAGCUGGUCUGAGAGGACGAUCAGCCACACUGGCACUGCGACACGGGCCAGACUCCUACGGGAGGCAGCAGUAAGGAUAUUGCGCAAUGGGCGAAAGCCUGACGCAGCGACGCCGCGUGGGGGA